GGUGUCAAACCGGAGGAAGGUGGGGAUGACGUCAAGUCCUCAUGGCCUUUAUGUCUAGGGCUACACACGUACUACAAUGGCCGGUACAAAGGGCAGCCACUCAGCGAUGAGGCGCUAAUCCCAUAAAGCCGGUCUCAGUCCGGAUCGCAGUCUGCAACUCGACUGCGUGAAGUUGGAAUCGCUAGUAAUCGUAGAUCAGCAUGCCUACGGUGAAUACGUUCCCGGGCCUU
Molecule: ribosomal RNA, 230 nt
Filed under: uncultured Desulfovibrio sp.
Lineage: Bacteria; Pseudomonadati; Thermodesulfobacteriota; Desulfovibrionia; Desulfovibrionales; Desulfovibrionaceae
Description: partial 16S ribosomal RNA
Rfam family: Bacterial small subunit ribosomal RNA
Source: RNAcentral